GACGAACGCUGGCGGCGUGCUUAACACAUGCACGUCGAACGGAAAGGCCCUGCUUUUGUGGGGUGCUCGAGUGGCGAACGGGUGAGUAACACGUGAGUAACCUGCCCUUGACUUUGGGAUAACUUCAGGAAACUGGGGCUAAUACCGGAUAGGAGCUCCUGCUGCAUGGUGGGGGUUGGAAAGUUUCGGCGGUUGGGGAUGGACUCGCGGCUUAUCAGCUUGUUGGUGGGGUAGUGGCUUACCAAGGCUUUGACGGGUAGCCGGCCUGAGAGGGUGACCGGCCACAUUGGGACUGAGAUACGGCCCAGACUCCUACGGGAGGCAGCAGUGGGGAAUAUUGCACAAUGGGCGGAAGCCUGAUGCAGCAACGCCGCGUGCGGGAUGACGGCCUUCGGGUUGUAAACCGCUUUCGCCUGUGACAAAGCGUGAGUGACGGUAAUGGGUAAAGAAGCACCGGCUAACUACGUG
This 468-nucleotide ribosomal RNA is filed under the name uncultured bacterium. RNAcentral's name for it is "partial 16S ribosomal RNA". It matches the Rfam family "Bacterial small subunit ribosomal RNA", at positions 28 to 507 of the family's 1533-position model. The record is from RNAcentral.